Molecule: long non-coding RNA, 780 nt
Organism: Sesamum indicum (sesame)
Lineage: Eukaryota; Viridiplantae; Streptophyta; Magnoliopsida; Lamiales; Pedaliaceae
Source: RefSeq, a predicted model, not a curated record
CAAACAUAAAGAAAUGGAGAGAGUGCAAAAUCGAGAGAGUGCAGGAGAAAAGCUUCUGCUCUAAUGGCGGCGCAUUCUAAGGCAGCCACCUCCGCCGUUCUCGUGCUGCGACUGCCCUCAGGCCUCGAUCUUUAGCGGAUCCCUUCUGGUGGCUGAUACAGAUGAAGUGGAAACCAAACUUGAGAGUGGAAGCCAUCAAACUAUUGACCUUGAUUUGCCGAUUCCCAUCGGGUGGCUGAUACAGAUGAAGUGGAAUCCAAACUUGAGAUUGGAAGCCAUUAGACUAUUGGCCUUGAUUUGCGGAUCCCUUCUGGUGGCUGAUACAGAUGAAGUGGAAACCAAACUUGAGACUGGAAGCCAUCAGACUAUUGACCUUGAUUUGGUAAGUCUGUUUGAGAGGUUAGCGAUGUUUUCGCAAAUUUUCUGCAAUUAGUUGCUAGUGGUCUUUCCUUUACUAGCACUUUGGUUUGGAAAAGUUUUGGCUUUGAUCGGCAACUCGGACUCUACUACUCUAAGAGCAGUUAAUGCUAGUGAAGAUGAUAUAGUUGUCGACUUGCAUCCAUUCACAAUGACACACUAGCUUGCAUGUCUAUCGGGCUCAAGUAUUUCUAAGUAUGAGCCUUGUGGUUUCUUCAAGACAUCGACAGCCAUUAGCUUAAGAAUAAAUCUAGCCUAUCAUAAAUAAGAAUACUCUGUUUGUAGUACUUCGGUUUCCAGUGAAAAACGCCUAUUGUUUAUACUCCUCUUUUUAUUUUUUAUUAAAAUUACCUAUUGCAAUUC